Molecule: non-coding RNA, 24 nt
Filed under: Arabidopsis thaliana (thale cress)
Lineage: Eukaryota; Viridiplantae; Streptophyta; Magnoliopsida; Brassicales; Brassicaceae
Source: RNAcentral
AGCACACUCUCUUUCUUCACUUGC